Varroa destructor (honeybee mite) is the source of this 1032-nucleotide long non-coding RNA. RefSeq lists it as uncharacterized. The record is from RefSeq and is a predicted model, not a curated record. NCBI's taxonomy places the organism in Eukaryota, Metazoa, Arthropoda, Arachnida, Mesostigmata, Varroidae.
UGCCAGUCUAAAGGGCGCCAAUUUCCAAAUUCUGACUAGAGGCCCGUCUUCAGCCAGUUCAGGCGUACCCGCUAUGAAACUAUUCGGCUAUUGAGGAAGAAUACAUUGAUUAUGCCAACGGAGCAAGUGUUGAAUGACAGUGUGUGUACACCCUGUUAGAGUCCAUUAUUCAUGUGUGGCUAGCCGGCCACUCUGUGUGUGCUACCAAAGAUAUUCCCUAAAACAGAAGCACGUUCAAUGGCCGAGCAAGUAAAAAACAGUUCUGGCUGACUUAAAGGAUCUCCGUAACACGGGUUGGAUUCUAACGUCAGCAAUAUGCACAAGUAGCAACAGUGAUCAAUCAGACCGAUGGCACGUUUAAGUCGGGUGAUUUCGAAUUUUGCUUCUCGUUAUAACCAGGUUCGACGAGAGUCAAGUCGUUAGUCGUCUGCAAGCUUGGUCACCUGGCGCCAUGAUGAAGACGAAGCACGUAGCCGUGAUUGUUCUAUUCCUCCUGAUGGCGCUUGUUGUUGUGCCUCAUUCAGCGCCGGCUAGACGUGGCGGUGAAGUUCUUCCAGUGAGGCGUUACAUGCAAAAAUGUUUUUACGGAAAUACAGCUUGUGUAACGUAUUGUACAGUAAACGGAUACAAAAAUGGGUUCUGCUCGGAAAUAUUAACGUGUCACUGCAUGGGGAAGGUGAACAGUAAUUUACGUGUAUCACAACAAGUGAUUGAGGAACGUCAUUAGGAUAAUGUCUGAGAUGUGACGUUCGUACAGGGUCACCUCCUACUGCUGACGAUUCCUCUGUUAAUUAGUUUUAAGGGAGCUGUUUAUAUCGAAUGAGGAUAGUGAAUGGACAAUAUGAGGUGCUCACGGACCAGAAAUCCAGAACUAAAUACCAAUUUAGCCAGUGUGGUAGGUGCUUGAACGGAUGCAUCCGAUCUGUUUGGUCUAGAGAUCUGCCUGGGCAGAAAAGUCAAUGUGAUAUAUAUAUAUAUAUUAUAAAUGUUUAUAUUUUUUAUUAUUAAUACUUAUAAAUAUUUAAGUAUGAA